RNAcentral lists this transfer RNA (74 nucleotides) under bacterium. RNAcentral describes it as "tRNA-Lys". It matches the Rfam family "tRNA". Rfam says of the family: Transfer RNA (tRNA) molecules are approximately 80 nucleotides in length. Their secondary structure includes four short double-helical elements and three loops (D, anti-codon, and T loops). The record is from RNAcentral.
GCACCCGUAGCUCAACUCGGCAGAGCAGUGGAUUCUUAAUCCACGGGCUGCAGGUUCAAGUCCUGCCGGGUGCA